AUUGAACGCUGGCGGCAGGCCUAACACAUGCAAGUCGAACGAGUGGCGGACGGGUGAGUAAUGUCUGGGAAACUGCCUGAUGGAGGGGGAUAACUACUGGAAACGGUAGCUAAUACCGCAUACCAUCGGAUGUGCCCAGAUGGGAUUAGCUAGGAGGUGGGGUAAAGGCUCACCUAGGCGACGAUCCCUAGCUGGUCUGAGAGGAUGACCAGUAACAGGGGAACUGAGACGCGGUCGAGACGCCUACGUGAGGCAGCAGGGGGGAAGAUUGGAGAAUGAGCGCAAGCCUGAUGCAGCCAUGCCGCGUGUAUGAAGAAGGGCUUCGGGUUGUAAAGUACUUCAAGCUGGGAGGCGUUACCCGCAGAAGAAGCACCGGCUAACUCCGUGCCAGCAGCCGCGGUAAUAC
Molecule: ribosomal RNA, 406 nt
Filed under: uncultured bacterium
Lineage: Bacteria
Description: partial 16S ribosomal RNA
Rfam family: Bacterial small subunit ribosomal RNA
Source: RNAcentral